RNAcentral lists this ribosomal RNA (433 nucleotides) under uncultured bacterium. RNAcentral describes it as "partial 16S ribosomal RNA". It matches the Rfam family "Bacterial small subunit ribosomal RNA", at positions 29 to 507 of the family's 1533-position model. The record is from RNAcentral.
AACGAACGCUGGCGGCAUGCCUAACACAUGCAAGUCGAACGACACCUUCGGGUGUAGUGGCGCACGGGGGCGUAAAGCGUGGGAACCGGCCCUUAGGCUCGGAAUAACUCUCCGAAAGGGGGGCUAAUACCGGAUAAUGUCCUCGGACCCAAGAUAUAUCGCAUUGGGAUGGGCCCGCGUUGGAUUAGCCAGUUGGUAUGGUAAAAGCCUACCAAGGCUACGAUCCAUAGCUGGUCUGAGAGGAUGAUCAGCGACACUGGGACUGGGACACGGCCGAGACUCUUACGGGAGGCAGCAGUGGGGAAUAUUGGAAUAUGGGCGAAAGCCUGAUCCAGCAAGGCCGCGUGAGUGAUGAUGGCCUUAGGGUUGUAAAGCUCUUUUACCCGGGAUGAUAAUGACAGUACCGGGAGAAUAAGCUCCGGCUAACUCCGUG